GGUGGUUCUUGGUUGACACACCCGAGAAUCGGGCUCCCUCCUCUCUGGUGUCAGGUGCGUCACCCAAGAAAAGCA
This is a non-coding RNA of Myotis lucifugus (little brown bat), 75 nucleotides long. NCBI's taxonomy places the organism in Eukaryota, Metazoa, Chordata, Mammalia, Chiroptera, Vespertilionidae. The record is from Rfam.